GUGGGGAAUCUUCCGCAAUGGACGAAAGUCUGACGGAGCGACGCCGCGUGAGUGAAGAAGGCCUUCGGGUCGUAAAGCUCUGUCAUCAGGGACGAACGGCCGGUGGAGUGGAAAGCCACCGGAUUGACGGUACCUGAGAAGGAAGCCACGGCUAACUACGUGCCAGCAGCCGCGGUAAUACGUAGGUGGCAAGCGUUGUCCGGAAUUAUUGGGCGUAAAGUGCGCGCAGGUGGGAUCUUAAGUCCAUUUUUAAAGUUCGGAGCUCAACUCCGUGAUGGGAUGGAAACUGGGAUUCUUGAGUACCGGAGAGGAAAGCGGAAUUCCCCGUGUAGCGGUGAAAUGCGUAGAUAUGGGGAGGAACACCAGUGGCGAAGGCGGCUUUCUGGACGGUGUCUGACACUGAGGCGCGAAAGCCAGGGGAGCGAACGGGAUUAGAAACCCGUGUAGUCC
This 450-nucleotide ribosomal RNA is filed under the name uncultured bacterium. Its description in RNAcentral is "partial 16S ribosomal RNA". It matches the Rfam family "Bacterial small subunit ribosomal RNA", at positions 354 to 796 of the family's 1533-position model. The record is from RNAcentral.